RNAcentral lists this long non-coding RNA (1067 nucleotides) under Malus domestica (apple). Its description in RNAcentral is "long non-coding RNA (MDOM_LNC019903)". Lineage: Eukaryota; Viridiplantae; Streptophyta; Magnoliopsida; Rosales; Rosaceae. The record is from RNAcentral.
AAUCCGUAGCAGCAAAACAAAUCUUGGCUAAUAUUUUCUUCCAGGUUUGAAAAUCGUUUUUAAACUUCUUUCUUCUUUCUAAUUUUGAUACCUAUUCCACUCACUAAUCACCCAUAAAGAUAUAAAUACAUUAUUCAAGAAAAUAGAACACAAAUACGUUGUAGCAAAACUAAACUUGGCAAAUUUGUUCAUUCAGGUUCGACUCCUAGCAGUGAAAAAUACUUUUGGAUUCUUUUUUUUGUAUUUUUCAUUUUUAUAUCAAUUUCACUCACUAAUCAACCCUCAAGCUAUAAAUAAAAUUACUUAAAGAAAAAACACAAAUCCGUUGUAGCAAAACUAAAGUUGGCUAAUUAUUUCAUCCAGGUUCGACUCCUAGCAGCGGAAACUGCUUUGAGAUUAUGUUUUUUGUAUUUUUCGUUUUUUAUAUCCAUUUCACUCACUAAUUACCCCUCAAGCUAAAAAUAAAAUUACUUAAAAAAUAAAACACAAAUCCGUAGUAGCAAAACUAUCUUGGCUAAUUUGUUCUUCCAGGUUUGAAAAUCGUUUUUAAACUUUUUUCUUCUUUCCAAUUUUGAUAUCUAUUCCACUCACUAAUCACCCAUAAAGAUAUAAAUAAAUUAUUCAAGAAAAUAGAACACAAAUACGUUGUAGCAAAACUAAACUUGGCUAAUUUGUUCAUUCAGGUUCGACUCUUAGCAGCGAAAAAUACUUUUGGAUUCUUUUUUUUGGAUUUUUCGUUUUUAUAUCCAUUUCACUCACUAAUCUCCCCUCAAGCUAUAAAUAAAAUUACUUAAAGAAAAAACUCAAAUCCGCUCUAGCAAAGCUAAACUUGGCUAAUUUGUUCAUCCAGGUUCGCAUCUUGGCAGCGGAAAAUACUUUUGGAAACUUUUUUCUUCUUUCCAAUUUUGAUAUCUAUUCCACUCACUAAGCACCCAUAAAGAUAUAAAUAAAUUAUUCAUGAAAAUAGAACACAAAUCCGCUGUAGCAAAACUAAACUUGGCCAAUUUGUUCAUCCAGGUUCGACUCCUGGCAGCGGAAAAUACUUUUUGAUUAUUUUUUUUGUAUUU